GCCGUAACGAGCGCAACCCUUGUCCUUAGUUACCAGCACGUUAUGGUGGGCACUCUAAGGAGACUGCCGGCGACAAACCGGAGGAAGGUGGGGAUGACGUCAAGUCAUCAUGGCCCUUACGGCCUGGGCUACACACGUGCUACAAUGGUCGGUACAAAGGGUUGCCAAGCCGCGAGGUGGAGCUAAUCCCAUAAAACCGAUCGUAGUCCGGAUCGCAGUCUGCAACUCGACUGCGUGAAGUCGGAAUCGCUAGUAAUCGUGAAUCAGAAUGUCACGGUGAAUACGUUCCCGGGCCUU
Molecule: ribosomal RNA, 297 nt
Filed under: uncultured Pseudomonas sp.
Lineage: Bacteria; Pseudomonadati; Pseudomonadota; Gammaproteobacteria; Pseudomonadales; Pseudomonadaceae
Description: partial 16S ribosomal RNA
Rfam family: Bacterial small subunit ribosomal RNA
Source: RNAcentral